Mytilus californianus (California mussel) is the source of this 2955-nucleotide long non-coding RNA. RefSeq lists it as uncharacterized. The record is from RefSeq and is a predicted model, not a curated record. Lineage: Eukaryota; Metazoa; Mollusca; Bivalvia; Mytilida; Mytilidae. The transcript is spliced from 3 exons.
CUUGCAAGACCCAUUCCGGAUUUGUUUGCAACUUAUAUCGGUUUUAACUAUGGGGUAUGUUUUAUAUCAAAACAAAAUAUUAAGCUUGGCAAAUGACUAUUAUAUGUUAAUUUAUGCCUUGGAAGAAUGGUGAUUUUAGUCCCAAAUUGACACAUUUUGAUUUUGAUUUUAAUUAAAUUCUAAACACAAUUGGUACUAAAAUGGCUCAUAAAAUCAUUCGAACAAGUAAAAUCAAUUUGUCUGAAAAAUGAAAUAAGACGUAUUUGUACUGCAAGUCCAAAAAUCAAUAAAUUGUCUGAAACCAGGGAGUCCAUCUUUUAUGCUCUUCCAUUGACUUAUCUCCCUUGGGUAAGAUCUCAAACAUGUCAGCUCCCAGUGAUGGUUUGGCAGACAAAUGUUUACAGUGAAGUUUGUGACUUUAAUAAUCUAGGAUGAGCAUGUGGGCUAUUCCAGCCUUAUACAUCUACAUAUUACAAACUAUUUAAGAUAUCUGAAUGCACUAAAGACCAAAAUAGCAUUUCCAAAAAAAAUAAUUACUGCCAACAUGGCCAAGAAAUUUGACAAUCAUGACAAUAAUUUAGUGAAUAAACAUGAUAAAUAUUGAUUGGAAAAAUAAGUCCAUGAACAGCAAAAAGUGUUUUUAGAUUUCAACGAGCAAAACAAAAGUAUUCUAAAUCAUUCUUCGUAAAAAAAAAAGUGAGCCAGUGGAACCACCUUGCUCGCACCAAAAUUGAGAUUGAGAGUGUCAAAACUGCUCUGGCGCACCAUCAGUAAAUCAACGACACUCUCUCUACGGUAGACUCUACCGUGGUAUUGAAACCAGCAUUGGUAACCAAUUAUAUUUGUACAGAUACAGACUACCAUUCAUCUACAUUUAGGAAGUCUGAAUAAUACUGAAAACUUAAUGGUGUAGAAUUUCCAACAGGACUCCUUAAUUUAUAUAAGACAAGGAGUGGUUUAUUUUCCCAUGGUUGUUACAUCAUUUUGUCUUUGAAUAUGCUCGAAGUACAGGGACUUUUAUGGAAUUCAUUGACAUGAUAGUCAAGCAAGAUGUCAACAUCUCGUCCAACCCUCUUCCAGCAAAGCCAAAGCUGACCAAGGAUCUUCACCCUUUCAAAACAGGCUGUAUACAGGACGAGUUAUUCCAGUAGGAACAGGGCUAUAUAUAUGCAAGCAAUGCUCAAUUAAGAUGAAUUUUUGUAAAAGUGACAAUAGCCAGGUCAAACUAAAUACAUGUAUAGAAGAAGAUAUUGAUCUAGACUCGCAGCUAACCUUUCUGUCAGUGUCAACAACAACUGAUCUUUCACAGCAGUCAACAUCAGAUUGGGAGACUGAUAAUGCUUCUAACAGAAACAAUUUCAACCAACCAAACAAGCAACAGAAACUUUUCAACUUUAAAACAUCAGUUAAAUCUUCCAUGGGAUGUUGUCUCAAAAAAUAACAGUUCAUCAUUUAUGGAGAUUUUAAUGUUAUGGUUUUUCUUUUACAAGAAAGUGAAUGUACACUUGUUUUAUAGUAAAACCUAUAGCUGUUCAAGUAUAAAAAAACACAUUCAACUUUAUUGAAAUUGGAAGAUUCAUAUGACUUAUUUUAAUUCUGUUAUCUCCGAGGAUGUGAUGUAGAGCAUUAUAGGUACAGUAAUCUUAACAGCUAUCCAAUUUCAUUCAAAAUUCUUUAUAAAUUUUGCACUGGUAUAUAUAGACUAAGUAAUUUGUUUUUCGUCUAGUUAUGGGAUUUUUUUAUACCCCACGCAACGAGUUGCGGAGGGUAUAAUGUUUUUGACCCGUCUGUCCGUCCAUCCGUCAGUCCGUCAGUCCUGUUUCUUGUCAUCGCAACUCCUCUCAAACCACACAACAGAAUUUCACGAAACCUUUUUAGAUAAUAAGGACAUACUAUGAAGUUGUGCACAUAGACAGGAAAUUACUAUUCAAGUCUUUUUCUAGGAGUUACGCCCCUUUGAACUUAUUUACUUUAAUGUACUACUGCAACAGUUUGUCAUCCCAACUCCUCUCAAACCACAUGACAGAAUUUCAUGAAACCUUUUCAGAUAAUAAGGACAUACUACGUAGAUGUGCAUAUCGACAGGAAAUUACGAUUUAAUUUUUUUUCCAGGAGUUACGCCCCUUUGAACUUAUUUGCCCAAUAUACUACUGCAACCUUUUGUCAUCGCAACUCCUCUCAAACCACACAACAGAAUUUCAUGAAACCUUUUCAGAUUAUAAGGACAUACUACGUAGAUGUGCAUAUCGACAGGAAAUUACGAUUCAAUUGUUUUUCCAGGAGUUACGCCCCUUUGAACUUAUUUGCCCAAUAUACUAAGGCAACCUUUUGUCAUCGCAACUCCUCUCAAACCACACAACAGAAUUUCAUGAAACCUUUUCAGGUAAUAAGGACAUACUACGUUGAUGUGCAUAUCGACAGGAAAUUACGAUUCAAUUUUUUUUCCAGGAAUUACGCCCCUUUGAACUUAUUUGCCCAAUAUACUACUGCAACCUUUUGUCAUCGCAACUCCUCUCAAACCACACAACAGAAUUUCAUGAAACUGUGUAGAUAAUAAGGACAUACUACGUCGAUGUGCAUAUUGACAGGAAAUUAUGAUUCAAUUUUUUUUUCUGAUACAUUUUUUUUUUCUGACACUUAUUUUAUUUCUCCAAUGACAAUGUUGGGACGUGGGGUAUGUGAGCGCGCUCACUAAGGUUCUUUCAUUUUAAAAGCAUUCAUGAUUUUCAUGUUUGUAUUGACCACAUUGCAGCAACAUAGAUAUAGGUACCUGGCAAAUCUUGCCUUGUUAGCAUACUAGGCUCAAAGGGUCAUAAAAAAAUUUCCAUCACUAACUGUCUGUUAAAAUCAUCUGUUUACAGUUUUCACUUUUAAACCAUCAUCUUAAUAACUUUAGAAGAAGUGUCAUACAUAUAUAUAUAUGUAUACAAAAUUUAAAAACUUUUCAAUAUAUAU